This 333-nucleotide long non-coding RNA is filed under the name Bos taurus (domestic cattle). RNAcentral describes it as "long non-coding RNA NONBTAT017331". The record is from RNAcentral. Lineage: Eukaryota; Metazoa; Chordata; Mammalia; Artiodactyla; Bovidae.
GUUUAUGAACCCAUUUAUAGAGCCAAGGGUUAGAGCACAGGCUGAGUGAGUGUUUCAGUUUGUGGCCAUGUUAGUGCCAUUAACUGGUGAAAUAGUCAUGUCCAGGAAUAUGGAAUAGAGGUGGAAAUGGAUCUUAGACAGGCUACUGACAUGGUGAGGACGAUAGUGGAAAGGCAAGUAUUACAAAAGAGUGGCAAUGCAUAGAUUUUAAUUUUUGAUAGUUUGUUAUCCCUACAGAGAUGUGUGUGGUAAUUAUUUGUAAAUUAGAAUAUUUCACUUCAUUUUCUAAACAUGCAGAGGAACAUUUUCAGUGGAUUGAAAAAUGGCCAAAAA